This is a long non-coding RNA of Oncorhynchus tshawytscha (Chinook salmon), 3018 nucleotides long. Lineage: Eukaryota; Metazoa; Chordata; Actinopteri; Salmoniformes; Salmonidae. The record is from Ensembl.
CGAUAAACAGCCUUUCAUAGAGACAUCAAAAAGGCUUUCAACUGUGAUGAUCUUUCUAACUUAACGAUUUCUAAAUAAAGUGAGGUGUGGAAAACAUGGAAACCGCAGGGUUGUAGACAGCAUCUCACAAAUGAAGAAUCACAACAACAACAACAAACGGAAUCACAACAACAAACGGAAUCACAACAACAAACGGAAUCACAACAACAACAAACGGAAUCACAACAACAACAAACGGAAUCACGACAACAACAAACGGAAUCACAACAACAACAAAAGGAAUCACAACAACAAACGGAAUCACAACAACAACAAACGGAAUCACAACAACAACAAACGGAAUCACAACAACAACAAACGGAAUCACAACAACAAACACAAAAAAGAAGCAUCCUCUGAAUGUAAUUCAACUGAAAAUUGAAUCUCUCCUGUAUCUGAGACCAGGGUGUCUCUUAUCACUCCUGUAUCUUGUCAGACAGGGACAGACAAGAGUAGGAGGGACAGAGAGAGACAGACAAAGACAGACAGAGACAGGAGGGACAGACAGGGACAGACAGAGACAGGAGGGACAGGCAGGGACAGAUAAGGACAGGAGGAGCAGACAGGGACAGGAGGGACAGACAGGGACAGACAGGGACAGAGAGGGACAGACAGGGACAGACAAGGACAGGAGGAACAGACAGGGACAGGAGGACAGACAAGGACUGGAGGAACAGACAGGGACAGGAGGGACAGACAGGGACAGGAGGGACAGACAGGGACAGGAGGACAGACAGGGACAGGAGGAACAGACAGGGACAGGAGGGAAAGACAGGGACAGGAGGGACAGACAAGGACAGGAGGAACAGACAGGGACAGGAGGGAAAGACAGGGACAGGAGGGACAGACAGGGACAGGAGGGAAAGACAGGGACAGGAGGGACAGACAAGGACAGGAGGAACAGACAGGGACAGGAGGACAGACAAGGACAGGAGGAACAGACAGGGACAGGAGGGACAGACAGGAACAGGAGGGACAGACAGGGACAGGAGGGACAGACAGGGACAGGAGGGACAGAGAGGGACAGGAGGGACAGAGAGGGACAGACAGGGAUGGGAGUGUUACACAGGGACAGACAGGGACAGGAGGGACAGACAGGGACAGACAGAGACAUGAGGGACAGACAGGGACAGGCAGAGACAGACAGGGAUGGGAGUGUUACACAGGGACAGACAGGGACAGGAGGGACAGACAGGGACAGGAGGGACAGACCGGGACAGGCAGAGACAGACAGGGACAGACAGAGACAGGAGGGACAGACAGGGACAGGAGGGACAGACAGGGACAGACAGAGACAGACAGAGACAGGAGGGACAGACAGGGACAGACAGAGACAGGAGGGACAGAGAGGGACAGACAGAGACAGGAGGGACAGAGAGGGACAGACAGGGAGAGGAGGGUUACACAGGGACAACAAGGACAGCUUAGUGGUUAGAGUGUAGAGGUGGCAGGUAGCCUAGUGGUGGCAGGUAGCCUAGUGGUUAGAGUGUAGAGGUGGCAGGUAGCCUAGUGGUUAGAGUAUAGAGGUGGCAGGUAGCCUAGUGGUUAGAGUGUAGAGGAGGCAGGUAGUCUAGUGGUUAGAGUGUAGAGGUGGCAGGUAGCCUAGUGGUUAGAGUGUAGAGGAGGCAGGUAGCCUAGUGGUUAGAGUGUAGAGGAGGCAGGUAGCCUAGUGGUUAGAGUGUAGAGGUGGCAGGUAGCCUAGUGGUUAGAGUGUAGAGAUGGCAGGUAGCCUAGUGGUUAGAGUGUAGAAGUGGCAGGUAGCCUAGUGGUUAGAGUGUAGAGGUGGCAGGUAGCCUAGUGGUUAGAGUGUAGAGGUGGCAGGUAGCCUAGUGGUUAGAGUAUAGAGGUGGCAGGUAGCCUAGUGGUUAGAGUGUAGAGGUGGCAGGUAGCCUAGUGGUUAGAGUGUAGAGGUGGCAGGUAGCCUAGUGGUUAGAGUGUAGAGGAGGAAGGUAGCCUAGUGGUUAGAGUGUAGAGGUGGCAGGUAGCCUAGUGGUUAGAGUGUAGAGGUGGCAGGUAGCCUAGUGGUUAGAGUGUAGAGGUGGUAGGUAGUCUAGUGGUUAGAGUGUAGAGGUGGCAGGUAGCCUAGUGGUUAGAGUGUAGAGGUGGCAGGUAGCCUUGUCUCAGGAUGUUAAGUUGGUGGUUGAAGAUAACCCUCUAGUGGUGUGGGGGCUGUGCUUUGGCAAAGUGGGUGGGGUUAUAUCCUGCCUGUUUGGCCCUGUCCGGGGGUGUCCUCGGAUGGGGCCACAGUGUCUCCUGACCCCUCCUGUCUCAGCCUCCAGUAUUUAUGCUGCAGUAGUUUAUGUGUCGGGGGGCUAGGGUCAGUUUGUUAUAUCUGGAGUACUUCUCCUGUCUUAUCCGGUGUCCUGUGUGAAUUUAAGUAUGCUCUCUCUAAUUCUCUCUUUCUCUCUUUCUUUCUCUCUGAUGACCUGAGCCCUAGGACCAUGCCUCAGGACUACCUGACAUGAUGACUCCUUGCUGUCCUCAGUCCACCUGGUUGUGCUGCUGCUCUAGUUUCAACUGUUCUGCCUGCGGCUAUGGAACCCUGACCUGUUCACUGGACGUGCUACCUGUCCCAGACCUAAUGUUUUCAACUCUUAAUGAUCGGCCAUGAAAGCCAACUGACAUUUACUCCUGAAGUGCUGACCUGUUGCACCCUCUACAACCACUGUGAUUAUUAUUAUUUGACCCUGCUGGUCAUCUAUGAACAUUUGAACAUCUUGGCCGUGUUCUGUUAUAAUCUCCACCCGGCACAGCCAGAAGAGGACUGGCCACCCCUCAUAGCCUGGUUCCUCUCUAGGUUUCUUCCUAGAUUCUAGCCUUUCUAGGUAGUUUUUCCUAGCCACCGUGCUUCUACACCUGCAUUGCUUCUUUUAGGCUGCGUUUCUGUACAGCACUUUGAGAUAUCAGCUGAUGUAAGAAGGGCUAUAUAAAUACAUUUGAUUGGAUAGACAGGGACAGGAGGGACAAGGACAGACAGGG